This is a long non-coding RNA of Lolium perenne, 981 nucleotides long. RefSeq lists it as uncharacterized. The record is from RefSeq and is a predicted model, not a curated record. NCBI's taxonomy places the organism in Eukaryota, Viridiplantae, Streptophyta, Magnoliopsida, Poales, Poaceae.
UUGCAGGGUUCGGGAUCGGUGCCGCGCUCCGCGAUCCUGGGUCGAUCGAUCCGGAUCGAGGAUCGGGAACGUGAUGGGAUCGACGCGAUUCGUUUUUGGGUCGCGAUCCCGUUCGUGGCCUUCCAGUUUCCAUUAGCGAUCCUGAAAAUCUGGAAUUCUAAACGUAAAAAUAGUAAGUCCAAGCGUUAUAUUUGGGCCUAUUAAUACUCUUGAUUAUGGGCCUCUUUUUCCUUGUCUCUUUGUUUCUCAGCACCGCCUCUUCGUCUCUUGUCUCUGGAUUCAGCAAGUCUGGAUCCAAGGAUUUCAUCGGUCCAAGUCUCCAAGAUCAUCAGAUUAGAAGAUGCCGUUUGGGCGUAAACUACUGGCCCGAGAUGCUGGCGGUUCUGAAGAAGAAUAUGAAGAUACAAAAGUAGAGAGAGAUGAUGAAGUUGAUCUCUCCGAUGGGGACGAGGCUGAUGCGGAUGACGAAAUUUAUGAAGAAGAAGAAGCCGAGCAAGAUGCAGGAACAUACGCUUUUAUUCAUAGUGUAAAGAGGAACAUCUUGAAGACAAUGACAUCAGAUAAGCUCGUCUAUAUCCAUGCAAACAUACGCUCAUCGGCUGAGAGAAACUGGAGUACAUACUCCUUUAUUCAUAGCGUAAAGAGGAACAAACUGAACACAAAGACAGCACAUAAGCUCGUCUAUAUCAUUAAGACUAAGAAAUGAAUGGUACAAGAAGUACGUGAAGAAUAUUGGAGAUUAGAAUCAUUGGAUAACUACUUUACUGGAGUACUGGAGCAUGGACUGGGAGGUCAAUCAUCUGAAGCAUAUGAUCUGAACUUCUGAAGUUCUCAGCUUGCUUAGCUUUUCCAAUAUUAUGCAUUAGCCGUAUAUGUUUCUAUGUACUAUGUACUGUGGCUGUCAACUUGAUACACUUCUAGCCUAAAGUUGUGAACUUAUGUGUUGAAGUCUAAAUUUCUAAGUUAUUAUAUUACUCAUCA